GACAGCAACAAAUUUCGCUGAUCGCGGUAGUUUGUCGCAUUCCGUGUAUCGAGCCCAUAAUUUCUGCAUUAGCCGCUGAAAGAAAACAAACGUGGAAAGACUCGCGUCAGAAAAAGACAGACAGUUCCACGUCAAAGGAAAUUUUUGCAUUCUUGACCCCGCCCACCUUGGCUAAUAACCACGGACGGCUGUUGUUGAUUUAGCAUCCACGAGAGACCAGAGAGGAUCUUGGCUAAUAAAAGCUAACAGUUAGCAUUAGCAACUCCACAACGCGGCGGAGCUCCUUCAGGCUUGUGUUAUUAGUGGAGAUAAAACACCAACGUUGUAUUUUUUUUUUUACCCAAGAAAGAAGAACGAACAGAGGCAGAAGAAGAGCUGCGCUGCUGUUAGCCAACCUUUGGCGAGAUGUUUGCAAAUCCGUAAAUAUUAAUGAGUACGACUCAAAAUCCUAACAGACUUCUACCCUCUGAAACGGGAGCGCUGGCGUGUUUUGUUAAGCAGAAAUGGAUCCACAAGGCAUUCAUUUACACUUAAGUGUAUGCCCACUUUAAAGGCUGCAAGGUAGUCACAGGGCUGUUCAGUAUCAGGGUGUGUACACCACUGGGCAUGGACCACAGAUGGAUAAUGGCACAGUUGUGUUGGGAGAUUAAAACUGGCAGGCAGGGUAAAUGCAAAUGCUAGAAGACCAUCUUCAUCCAGGUUCAAAAGCUGCACAUAUUAAUCAGAAAGCCUCCAUGGGAUUGCAGAUGGACUCCCUAGAUGUAAAAGGAAAUGAACGGGAAUCUCCAGGUUGAUGAAGUGUUGAUGGUGUAAAAUGAGACAUUUGCCCAAAGGCACGAUGAAAAGACCUGAAGUUCUGGAGAAAAUUCUUCAGACAAAUAAAACUGGAUCUUUUUAGGCACUCGCAAGGUUUUUUGACUCUGUGCAGCAUCAAACAAAUUCCCAACCAGCUAGGAGUUCUGGAGCUAACUUCCCUCAAGAUUGGUUGAUGAGGAGCAAGGUGCCCACAUCGUUUUUCCAUCCCAAAUGCAGUAAGUAUCUCUGAACUUAACACAUUCCAGUUUUUGUUGUCUAGUAUUUCUGCUAAUACUAUUACUGUACUGUUAUAUACUAUUACUGCUACUUCCAGGAAAACAAAAGGUCCAUGUACAUCUGUGGUUGAAGAUGAUUUUCCAUCCCAGUCGCAAUUCUUUUGAUGAAGAGCCAUCCACCAUCACCAGCAACGGACAAGGUCAGUGAUGGGAUGCUGCUGGAGAUGCUCCACAUAUUCUGGACUCCUGGUAAACAGAGUAAGACCCAGGUCAUAAUCGUGCAGCCCUACUGGACUAUCCUGACGUGGCCUGAUCUACAUCGUGCUGAAGAUCUGUGGAAGGUGCUGAAAACAUCUGGAGAAGGAGCCCUUUAAACCAGAGACAACUGAAGCUCUUUGUUCCUGAAGAGCAGAGCAAAAUACCUGUGGACAGGUGCAUCUGUCUCACUGAGAGGUACAGAUGCGACCUGACCUGUAAGAACUAAUGAUCCGGAACACAAAUGAACACAACAGGUUUAGACUUAAAAGCACCAAUCAGUCACUUUGAACUUCUGGACAGCAGAUGGGUUUUAUUUAUGGACUGGAUCUGAAUAAAUCCAUCAAGUUUGUGUCUUUAAGGAACGACAUGACACAAAAGCUGGACAAAGACAGUGUUUCAUACUGAUUCUGCACCAACUCAUCCAUAAAAUGCACAUCUGCACUAUCUCCAGAUAACAUAUCCACAUCUGCUUCAACAACUUAUCAUAACCUUUUUGUGGCUAAGUCAGGCCUGGCUAGGAUACACCCUGGUUCCCAGAAUCCCGUGCACCGGGCCUUCCUGUGGAUUCACCUCAUCCCACCAAUUCCUCUCUCUGAUCAGACCUCUGGUUUGUCAAGAGUCUUGCUAAGCCACUAAACACCGAAACACGACAUAUUUUGUGUUUGCAGCUGCUUUUUAGGGGGAAGUUAGUCAGUUUGAAAAAACUGUCUCCAACAAUCCAUCUUUCCAACCUUUACAGUAAAGAUGUAAAUAAUGAUGAUCACUGGGAAAAUCCUGAAUAAAGCUCCGGAUCAUGAAAAUAAAGGCUCAUCAAAUGGAAAGAUAUGCCGAGUUAUCUGAUAAAACGCGUCCUACUCUAGCUCCUUUUCAACUCCUCGCCAUCAUGGUUUUUUUAUUUCUAAGAACUCUAGUAGCUGGAGACUAAAAUAAAAAAGUGAUGCUAUGAAACUGAAACGGCUUCUCCAAGAAGUCAGAAAGUAUUCAAAUAUUCAGCUCAGUCACAUGAGAGCGAAUCCCAGGAGGACUUUGUUGAGUAGAUCUGAAGCUGCAGCUGAAAUAAACGACCAGAGCUGAAUAAACGUAACAUAAAACAUGCGGCACGUGGAAAAUCUGACAAACUAAAUCAAACUAAAUCUGAGAAUAAAGCUGCAGCUUUGGCCCGUAUUCUGUGUUCUAGGUGAUACAAAAUGUGGGAUGGAAAACUGCAGAAAAACAAUUUUCUUUUUGAAAAAUGUUUCCAUUGUGCAGCAAAACUGAAAAAAUUGAGAAAUAAAUGAGAAAACAAGUCCUCUGGAAGGACGUGUGAAACACGAAUGCCUCAGAGUCAGGCUGACUCGACAUUUGAUGUCAGGUUUUAGAAAUGUGUCCCAAAUUAACAGCAGCUCUAAAUCCAGGCUUUCUUUUCUUCCGGCUCUUGGAGGGUGCAGACGCUUUUUUCCUCCUCUCCUCCAUAUCUUAUCCUCAAGGCCUUUGUCUGUCUCUGUGUGCUGGGUGCACGGCUGCUUCUGCAUUUUUCUGGAAACUGGAAACUGAAAUUAAUUUAAAUGGAUCUCGUCAGCUGGUCUCUCAACGCGAUUGAUACAAUUUUUUCAAUGAUGAGAACGGGAGAAGGGGCUCCCGGAUGCCCCUCCGGGACAGACCCCAUUGGAAACAUCAUGGACUCCUGGAAAAAGUGGAACUUGAUUUGUUUAUCUCAGCUGUCUGUGGAGGAUUCUGAAGACGUGUGGAUAUUCGUGGUGUUGGUGUCAGGUUUCCUGCUAAUCGGCCUUGGAGGCUUCCUGGCUUACCGGAAAAUUAACAAGCUGUCGAGGAAUACUGGCCUGAUCCCGGAGCUCAGAGAUGGUUUGCACCGCGCUGUGAAUUCACAGACUCACAUAAUUGUCUAGAUGAAUCAUAAGCUUGGGACUUUGGCCGAGAUUCAUUCUUUGGCACAAAAGAUGGAUGCCAUCAAGGAGAGAGUGGACGAAUAAGCACGGAUUGGGAUAGAUUAAUGUCCAUUAUUGGGAUUCUGAGAGGUUGAGGACCAGCAAACUGUAAGACAGAGAGGAAAUUAUCUCUGUCUGGCCCCAAAACUAUUUCUAAUCGGAAUCUGGCGUCCUUGAGCCUGCAAGGCUCCAACGAAGACUCCCCCCUCAGAAGACAUGUGGAAUGUGCCGUCGUUAUGGCAACUCAACUCUGUCUCCUUUGCCAGCCUGGGCGGGACUGCGGGAAGGCCGCUGAAACGUUCCAGGGUCACUGCAACCCUCCAACCCUCAAUGCUCCUCCCCCUAUCCACACUGAGGUGACAUGCGCUGCUUAUCGUGGCUGCAGGAACUGAAGUGGGGAUAGUCCCAACCCACCACCCCACCUAGUGGACACUUAUGUUGUGUUGUCUGAAGUCCGUUGCAUAUCUGUCUGAGGUGUUUUUUUUUUUUGGCAGAGCAAAGCUGCCCUCCUGGUGGGAGGGUAACUCUGAAGUGCCUUUUUUCCCUCCACCUGAACCAAUCCUCAUGUAACCCUCUGAUCUCUAUUAAGGUAGCGCGACUCAGGGUUGUGAAUGACCACAGUCACCAAUUCUUGUCAUGUGUCUUGCCCAUGUAUGUCUGAUGUCUGAAUGGUGUGUACUGAAACUCUAAUUUCCCUCUGGGAUUAAUAAAGUAUCUUUGAUUUGAUUUGAUUGAUUAUGUCUACUUUGGGUUUCAGCUGCUUUAUUUUAUUUCCUCAUGUCCCAAACUGAGUUUAUAAUCUUUUUUUAAAGUAUGAUUUAAAUUAUUACCAGGAACAGGUUUUACUCUCAGCUAAUCCCAGACUAGGUGGAUUACAGACAAAUUAUACUGGGAUAACGGAGUCUCAAACCAGCCAUUUAAAACCACCCUGCAGUCAUCUGAUGCCAAGAAAAGAUGAAAUGGAACAGCCCAAAGUUAUGAAACUUCAAAUUAAAAACUCAAGGAAAAAUAAAUGCAACUAAAAAAUUAUCUUUGAGACCAAAAAAUAAAAACAAUGUCCAGAUUUUCUAAAUAAGGUGCAAAUAUGUAAUUCCAGUCCUGUUUUGGGCGUAACUUUUGCUGGCUGCAGCUGUUCUGAGGCCCCAAACUCCCUGACUUACUAAAGCCCUCCCAGGUGCGACUCACCUUGUU
Molecule: long non-coding RNA, 4405 nt
Organism: Nothobranchius furzeri (turquoise killifish)
Lineage: Eukaryota; Metazoa; Chordata; Actinopteri; Cyprinodontiformes; Nothobranchiidae
Source: RefSeq, a predicted model, not a curated record